This 1571-nucleotide ribosomal RNA is filed under the name Escherichia coli. Its description in RNAcentral is "bacterial LSU rRNA". It matches the Rfam family "Bacterial large subunit ribosomal RNA", at positions 1270 to 2826 of the family's 2925-position model. The record is from RNAcentral. Lineage: Bacteria; Pseudomonadati; Pseudomonadota; Gammaproteobacteria; Enterobacterales; Enterobacteriaceae.
AUGCUGGAGGUAUCAGAAGUGCGAAUGCUGACAUAAGUAACGAUAAAGCGGGUGAAAAGCCCGCUCGCCGGAAGACCAAGGGUUCCUGUCCAACGUUAAUCGGGGCAGGGUGAGUCGACCCCUAAGGCGAGGCCGAAAGGCGUAGUCGAUGGGAAACAGGUUAAUAUUCCUGUACUUGGUGUUACUGCGAAGGGGGGACGGAGAAGGCUAUGUUGGCCGGGCGACGGUUGUCCCGGUUUAAGCGUGUAGGCUGGUUUUCCAGGCAAAUCCGGAAAAUCAAGGCUGAGGCGUGAUGACGAGGCACUACGGUGCUGAAGCAACAAAUGCCCUGCUUCCAGGAAAAGCCUCUAAGCAUCAGGUAACAUCAAAUCGUACCCCAAACCGACACAGGUGGUCAGGUAGAGAAUACCAAGGCGCUUGAGAGAACUCGGGUGAAGGAACUAGGCAAAAUGGUGCCGUAACUUCGGGAGAAGGCACGCUGAUAUGUAGGUGAAGUCCCUCGCGGAUGGAGCUGAAAUCAGUCGAAGAUACCAGCUGGCUGCAACUGUUUAUUAAAAACACAGCACUGUGCAAACACGAAAGUGGACGUAUACGGUGUGACGCCUGCCCGGUGCCGGAAGGUUAAUUGAUGGGGUCAGCGCAAGCGAAGCUCUUGAUCGAAGCCCCGGUAAACGGCGGCCGUAACUAUAACGGUCCUAAGGUAGCGAAAUUCCUUGUCGGGUAAGUUCCGACCUGCACGAAUGGCGUAAUGAUGGCCAGGCUGUCUCCACCCGAGACUCAGUGAAAUUGAACUCGCUGUGAAGAUGCAGUGUACCCGCGGCAAGACGGAAAGACCCCGUGAACCUUUACUAUAGCUUGACACUGAACAUUGAGCCUUGAUGUGUAGGAUAGGUGGGAGGCUUUGAAGUGUGGACGCCAGUCUGCAUGGAGCCGACCUUGAAAUACCACCCUUUAAUGUUUGAUGUUCUAACGUGGACCCGUGAUCCGGGUUGCGGACAGUGUCUGGUGGGUAGUUUGACUGGGGCGGUCUCCUCCUAAAGAGUAACGGAGGAGCACGAAGGUUGGCUAAUCCUGGUCGGACAUCAGGAGGUUAGUGCAAUGGCAUAAGCCAGCUUGACUGCGAGCGUGACGGCGCGAGCAGGUGCGAAAGCAGGUCAUAGUGAUCCGGUGGUUCUGAAUGGAAGGGCCAUCGCUCAACGGAUAAAAGGUACUCCGGGGAUAACAGGCUGAUACCGCCCAAGAGUUCAUAUCGACGGCGGUGUUUGGCACCUCGAUGUCGGCUCAUCACAUCCUGGGGCUGAAGUAGGUCCCAAGGGUAUGGCUGUUCGCCAUUUAAAGUGGUACGCGAGCUGGGUUUAGAACGUCGUGAGACAGUUCGGUCCCUAUCUGCCGUGGGCGCUGGAGAACUGAGGGGGGCUGCUCCUAGUACGAGAGGACCGGAGUGGACGCAUCACUGGUGUUCGGGUUGUCAUGCCAAUGGCACUGCCCGGUAGCUAAAUGCGGAAGAGAUAAGUGCUGAAAGCAUCUAAGCACGAAACUUGCCCCGAGAUGAGUUCUCCCUGACUCCUUGA